AGCGGCGAGCGAACGGGGAGCAGCCCAGAGCCUGAAUCAGUGUGUGUGUUAGUGGAAGCGUCUGGAAAGGCGCGCGAUACAGGGUGACAGCCCCGUACACAAAAAUGCACAUACUGUGAGCUCGAUGAGUAGGGCGGGACACGUGGUAUCCUGUCUGAAUAUGGGGGGACCAUCCUCCAAGGCUAAAUACUCCUGACUGACCGAUAGUGAACCAGUACCGUGAGGGAAAGGCGAAAAGAACCCCGGCGAGGGGAGUGAAAAAGAACCUGAAACCGUGUACGUACAAGCAGUGGGAGCACGCUUAGGCGUGUGACUGCGUACCUUUUGUAUAAUGGGUCAGCGACUUAUAUUCUGUAGCAAGGUUAACCGAAUAGGGGAGCCGAAGGGAAACCGAGUCUUAACUGGGCGUUAAGUUGCAGGGUAUAGACCCGAAACCCGGUGAUCUAGCCAUGGGCAGGUUGAAGGUUGGGUAACACUAACUGGAGGACCGAACCGACUAAUGUUGAAAAAUUAGCGGAUGACUUGUGGCUGGGGGUGAAAGGCCAAUCAAACCGGGAGAUAGCUGGUUCUCCCCGAAAGCUAUUUAGGUAGCGCCUCGUGAAUUCAUCUCCGGGGGUAGAGCACUGUUUCGGCAAGGGGGUCAUCCCGACUUACCAACCCGAUGCAAACUGCGAAUACCGGAGAAUGUUAUCACGGGAGACACACGGCGGGUGCUAACGUCCGUCGUGAAGAGGGAAACAACCCAGACCGCCAGCUAAGGUCCCAAAGUCAUGGUUAAGUGGGAAACGAUGUGGGAAGGCCCAGACAGCCAGGAUGUUGGCUUAGAAGCAGCCAUCAUUUAAAGAAAGCGUAAUAGCUCACUGGUCGAGUCGGCCUGCGCGGAAGAUGUAACGGGGCUAAACCAUGCACCGAAGCUGCGGCAGCGACGCUGAUGCGUUGUUGGGUAGGGGAGCGUUCUGUAAGCCUGUGAAGGUGUGCUGUGAGGCAUGCUGGAGGUAUCAGAAGUGCGAAUGCUGACAUAAGUAACGAUAAAGCGGGUGAAAAGCCCGCUCGCCGGAAGACCAAGGGUUCCUGUCCAACGUUAAUCGGGGCAGGGUGAGUCGACCCCUAAGGCGAGGCCGAAAGGCGUAGUCGAUGGGAAACAGGUUAAUAUUCCUGUACUUGGUGUUACUGCGAAGGGGGGACGGAGAAGGCUAUGUUGGCCGGGCGACGGUUGUCCCGGUUUAAGCGUGUAGGCUGGUUUUCCAGGCAAAUCCGGAAAAUCAAGGCUGAGGCGUGAUGACGAGGCACUACGGUGCUGAAGCAACAAAUGCCCUGCUUCCAGGAAAAGCCUCUAAGCAUCAGGUAACAUCAAAUCGUACCCCAAACCGACACAGGUGGUCAGGUAGAGAAUACCAAGGCGCUUGAGAGAACUCGGGUGAAGGAACUAGGCAAAAUGGUGCCGUAACUUCGGGAGAAGGCACGCUGAUAUGUAGGUGAAGCGACUUGCUCGUGGAGCUGAAAUCAGUCGAAGAUACCAGCUGGCUGCAACUGUUUAUUAAAAACACAGCACUGUGCAAACACGAAAGUGGACGUAUACGGUGUGACGCCUGCCCGGUGCCGGAAGGUUAAUUGAUGGGGUCAGCGCAAGCGAAGCUCUUGAUCGAAGCCCCGGUAAACGGCGGCCGUAACUAUAACGGUCCUAAGGUAGCGAAAUUCCUUGUCGGGUAAGUUCCGACCUGCACGAAUGGCGUAAUGAUGGCCAGGCUGUCUCCACCCGAGACUCAGUGAAAUUGAACUCGCUGUGAAGAUGCAGUGUACCCGCGGCAAGACGGAAAGACCCCGUGAACCUUUACUAUAGCUUGACACUGAACAUUGAGCCUUGAUGUGUAGGAUAGGUGGGAGGCUUUGAAGUGUGG
This 1898-nucleotide ribosomal RNA is filed under the name Escherichia coli. RNAcentral's name for it is "partial 23S ribosomal RNA". It matches the Rfam family "Bacterial large subunit ribosomal RNA", at positions 245 to 2167 of the family's 2925-position model. Lineage: Bacteria; Pseudomonadati; Pseudomonadota; Gammaproteobacteria; Enterobacterales; Enterobacteriaceae. The record is from RNAcentral.